Molecule: non-coding RNA, 307 nt
Organism: Paramuricea clavata
Lineage: Eukaryota; Metazoa; Cnidaria; Anthozoa; Malacalcyonacea; Plexauridae
Source: the annotation of a GenBank genome assembly
CGGGUUAUAUUUUAAUUAAACUUCGGCUAACGCCAAUCCUACAGUGAAAACAGGCCCUGGAUUUAAAACUGUUAUCAACGCACCAAGGGCAUGUUCAUAUGAGCCUGGUUGGUCUGUGUUCAUGUGCUUGUGCUUUAUGUCAACAUGGCGUCUUAAACAAACUGCACUUUGUACUACGACUUAAUAGUGUCUGCUUAUAUGUAGUAAUGUUUAUUUUUUCUAUGUAUUUUUCAACUAUGUCGUUCAAUAGUAUAUCAUAAGCCAAAGUCCGCACUGAAAAUGUCUUCUUUUUUUCCCCUUUUUUUUU